GUGAAUCAUCAAAUUUUUGAACGCAAAUUGCACUCUCCUCGGAGAGUAUGCCUGUUUGAGUGUCAGCCUAUAAAAAAUCGACAUCGUUGCUGUUUCGCGGUGGCGUUCGUCGGAAAUUGGGUUAUCUUAAAUCCUUUUGGGUUUUAAGCGGCUUAAAAUUUUCUUUUUGGUUUUAUGAAUGUUUUUAAGAUUUAUUUCUUGUCAUGUUUAAGGUAUCGAUUUUUAUUAGACUUGACAAUCGUAUCG
RNAcentral lists this unclassified non-coding RNA (246 nucleotides) under Glomus sp. RNAcentral describes it as "partial contains 5.8S ribosomal RNA and internal transcribed spacer 2". The stretch from base 1 to 65 matches the Rfam family "5.8S ribosomal RNA", at positions 84 to 154 of the family's 154-position model. The record is from RNAcentral. Lineage: Eukaryota; Fungi; Glomeromycota; Glomeromycetes; Glomerales; Glomeraceae.